AGUGAACGCUGGCGGUAGGCCUAACACAUGCAAGUCGAACGGCAGCACAGUAAGAGCUUGCUCUUACGGGUGGCGAGUGGCGGACGGGUGAGGAAUACAUCGGAAUCUACUUUUUCGUGGGGGAUAACGUAGGGAAACUUACGCUAAUACCGCAUACGACCUACGGGUGAAAGCAGGGGAUCUUCGGACCUUGCGCGAUUGAAUGAGCCGAUGUCGGAUUAGCUAGUUGGCGGGGUAAAGGCCCACCAAGGCGACGAUCCGUAGCUGGUCUGAGAGGAUGAUCAGCCACACUGGAACUGAGACACGGUCAAGACUCCUACGGGAGGAAGAAGUGGGGAAUAUUAGACAAUGGGCGAAAGCCUGAUCAAGCAAUACCGCGUGGGUGAAGAAGGCCUUCGGGUUGUAAAGACCUUUUGUUGGGAAAGAAAAGCAGCAGGUUAAUACCCCGCUGUUCUGACGGUACCCAAAGAAUAAGCACCGGCUAACUUCGUG
This 492-nucleotide ribosomal RNA is filed under the name uncultured bacterium. RNAcentral's name for it is "partial 16S ribosomal RNA". It matches the Rfam family "Bacterial small subunit ribosomal RNA", at positions 29 to 507 of the family's 1533-position model. The record is from RNAcentral.